RNAcentral lists this ribosomal RNA (255 nucleotides) under uncultured bacterium. RNAcentral describes it as "partial 16S ribosomal RNA". It matches the Rfam family "Bacterial small subunit ribosomal RNA", at positions 524 to 777 of the family's 1533-position model. The record is from RNAcentral.
UACGUAGGGGGCAAGCGUUGUCCGGAUUUAUUGGGCGUAAAGAGCGUGUAGGCGGCUAAUUAAGUCAAAUGUGAAAUCCCCCGAGCUUAACUUGGGAAUUGCAUUCGAUACUGGUUAGCUAGAGUGUGGGAGAGGAUGGUAGAAUUCCAGGUGUAGCGGUGAAAAUGCGUAGAGAUCUGGAGGAAUACCGAUGGCGAAGGCAGCCAUCUGGCCUAACACUGACGCUAGGUGCGAAAGCAUGGGUAGCAAACAGGG